AUGGACAAACUCCAGUAUGAGCAACCUAUCAAUGGGGGCAAUACCAUGAUUAUAUUUCCCUCUUCAUCGUUUCUGCAAGGAAGGAUGUCAAAGGUUCAGAAUAAAGUUCAAGUUGAUGCUUCAGAGCCUAUUCUUCCGCUGGCCGAUAGAUCCAUUGGAGAAUGCUCUGAGACGCGAAGAAAUGUUCGCCAUGUGAACCUUCACAAUAUUAAGGUCAGCAAAGUUUGUGUCCAAUUCCCCAAGAGUGUGGACAACAAUCAUCCAGACCGCCUUUUUCAUAUCAGCAAGGGUGGUAUAAGAAUUCAUACUAUGGUGACUAGAAACCCUUCAACAGUUGUUGCCUUCAUCAGAUUCAUCUGGAAAAAGUAUCUUAAUCAUGCCAAGUGGCGUGUUGUCAGCCUUGACUGUGAAUACACUAGAUAUGUCCACGGCAAAGAGCGCAAGAAGCUUCUACUUGAGCAACAAGUUGCUCUCUCUAAUCAAGAGCCACAACGUGCUGCCGUCUUGCAGCUUUGUGUGGGCAAGCAUUGCCUAAUUUACCAGCUAUACCAGGCUCAUGCUAGGAGUUUUAUCCCUCCACUUCUGCGCAACUUCCUUGACAAUGACACAGUCGAAUUUGCGGGUGCCGCCAUUGGCAAUGACAUAGAAAAACUCAAGUUCUAUAACUUGGGUAUUAGAAAACCUGUUGAUGUGCAGGGACUGGGUAUCAAGGUUCCUUACCAAAAAGUAGUCAAUUUGGCUUCAUUGGAGAAGCUAGCAAAGAAGGUUGUAAAUAUAAGUCUUAACAAGGACAAAAACAUCACUGUCAGUCAGUGGGAAAAGUCCAACCUCGACAAUGACCAGAUAAAGUAUGCAUGUCUGGAUGCCUAUGUGAGCUUCGAGGUUUAUAGGCGGCAUUCCAACAUAACUGGUUAUCUUAGGACCCGCUGA
This 930-nucleotide ribosomal RNA is filed under the name Triticum aestivum (bread wheat). Its description in RNAcentral is "partial small subunit ribosomal RNA". The record is from RNAcentral. Lineage: Eukaryota; Viridiplantae; Streptophyta; Magnoliopsida; Poales; Poaceae.